AGUGAACGCUGGUGGUAGGCCUAACACAUGCAAGUCGAACGGCAGCACAGUAAGAGCUUGCUCUUACGGGUGGCGAGUGGCGGACGGGUGAGGAAUACAUCGGAAUCUACUUUUUCGUGGGGGAUAACGUAGGGAAACUUACGCUAAUACCGCAUACGACCUACGGGUGAAAGAAGGGGAUCUUCGGACCUUGCGCGAAUGAAUGAGCCGAUGUCGGAUUAGUUAGUUGGCGGGGUAAAGGCCCAGCAAGGCGACGAUCCGUAGCUGGUCUGAGAGGAUGAUCAGCCACACUGAAACUGAGACACGGUCCACACUCCUACGGAAGGCAGCAGUGGGGAAUAUUAGACAAUGGGCGCAAGCCUGAUCCAGCCAUACCGCGUGGGUGAAGAAGGCCUUCGGUUUGUAAAGCCCUUUUGUUGGGAAAGAAAAGCGGCAGGUUAAUACCCCGCUGUUCUGACGGUACCCAAAGAAUAAGCACCGGCUAACUUCGUG
RNAcentral lists this ribosomal RNA (492 nucleotides) under uncultured bacterium. RNAcentral's name for it is "partial 16S ribosomal RNA". It matches the Rfam family "Bacterial small subunit ribosomal RNA", at positions 29 to 507 of the family's 1533-position model. The record is from RNAcentral.